This 232-nucleotide long non-coding RNA is filed under the name Eucalyptus grandis. Its description in RNAcentral is "long non-coding RNA (EGRA_LNC006624)". The record is from RNAcentral. Lineage: Eukaryota; Viridiplantae; Streptophyta; Magnoliopsida; Myrtales; Myrtaceae.
UUUGACAUCCUUUUAGAAUAGAUUACUGUGGGAUCUUUCAACAACUAUUGGGAUUUACCGAUUGGCAAUGGAAUAUGGAAGUUGUUUGUGUAAAUCAUCGGCGGAUUUUCGAUUGGGAUUCACUUUGUAUUUCGGUUUUGAGAUUAGAGGAGUUCUAUUUUCUUUGAGAUCAAUUGUUCAGCCGGUUUGAAAGCGUACAUGGUGAUACCUAAGAACUUUUGGAUAAGAAUGA